Anarrhichthys ocellatus (wolf-eel) is the source of this 4865-nucleotide long non-coding RNA. RefSeq lists it as uncharacterized. Lineage: Eukaryota; Metazoa; Chordata; Actinopteri; Perciformes; Anarhichadidae. The transcript has 3 exons. The record is from RefSeq and is a predicted model, not a curated record.
CCAUGCAGGCAAAAGUGAGAGGAGGCGGCGAAAAGUAAACAUGCAACAAACAAUCUUUGAUACAAAUGGCGUAAUCACUCGUUACUGUAUCUAUUUCAGAGAUGGUCUGUUUUCCCCCGGAUAUCUUUUUGUACACAGUUCCAAGGCGAGAGGUCAACUUUUACCCCGUUUAGGAUUGUAGUUUUUGCAGGAGCAUGUUUCACCAAAAUUACCCGUUUAAAGCGUUUGUCUGCAGGUUGAUUGUUCUCCGUGUGCAGUUUAAUAAACACUUUGUAACAAUGUCAGUACCGAACCUAUCAGAAGACAGCUCAGAGCUACUCACAGGCAGAAGCCUGUUAAAGAUCAACGCAGACUUUAACGAGAAUGACCACGAUGGAAGAAAGUUGACAGAGGAUGAGGUGGCCAUCCAUAGAGCCCAUACAGAGGCAUGCGAGGCAAAGAAGCAGAUGUAUGUGGACCCUUCCAGUGGGUACAAGGUGUUCACAGAGUAUGCCCACCUUCAGAGAGGGAAAUGUUGUGGCACCGCGUGCAGACAUAUAAGCCUUCCUUAUGAGAACCCCGUCAACAAAACUGAAAAUUUUAUAUCGAAGCAACACAACGAGACCAAAUAGAAAGCAGCAAUAUGGAGGCUAAAAAAAAUAAAGUUAAGUGAAAAUCCCGUCUUCUGUCUUGCACCAUCCCAUCCCCGUCUGUCUUCUCCUGUUCUGUCUUUUCUUGCUCUUUGUGCUUCCGUCCUGAUUUGGUUCGGCCUCAUCCUGUUCUCGUGUUCGGCGUGCAUGUCCAUGUCUUGUUCUCUGUGAUGUCCUACUCCACCUGUAGCCAUUUAAUUAUUUAUUUUUCUCCUCUGCAGUGUCCGUAUGGCCAAGUCAACGUGAAGGACCCUGCAAUGAAGAAAACAUUUAAUUCUCUAUUUUAUGUAUAGGCCUAUAGACGAAGGUGAAACGCCUGUUCAGAACGGAUCCCAGCACACGCUGCUUGGCUUCGGCCUGUCGUUGUUUGGACCACUUGAGAGUCAUUUUUAGCAGUGUACCAAAUGAUGAAAUAUGGGUAGUGUCUGUGCAAUAUCUACCUCCUGUGAAUCACAACUAUUCUCAGGAUUAUUUUUAUUCUCACAAGACAGGGGAGGAGGAGGAGGAAGGAUUUGUUCACUAGAUCUCAUGUAAAAUAGUCUUUUAUCACGUUUUUUGUUUUGCUGUAUUUUUCUGAUAUUUUUCUCAAAUGUCCAAUGAAAUGCCUUGAGCUUCAUUUUUUCCUUUUCUCUUUAAGAGUAUUAAAUAUGUUGUGGUAUCCCGCUCCUCUAAUGCAUUUACAAGGGCUGUGGGAGUAUGGAGAUGAAAACUGAAGGAGCAUUUUAGAUCUUAGCCCUCAAGAUAAAGGGCAUGUAAGCGAAAGUAACUGCAGCAACUGUAGCUAGUCAGAUGGAGUCUUGUGCUCUUUUUGCUUUGCAUCUCUUGUUAUUCUUCCUCCCAAAUGUAGAGCUGCAUGAAUAUUAGCAUCAUUUAAGUGCUCGACUUAACUGUCUACCUUUGACUGGAACGCUGUGUUGUUAAAAAUAGGCAGGGGCCAAGGGUCGGCCCUCACACUUGGCUGCGCUGCUUUUACACCACUUGAUGGAAUCAGGCUGUUAACAAACAUGCCAUGGACAUCAACAGCAGCCCUCCCCACCGGACUCGCAGCUCAGCCUCCUGGCAACACUUGGCUACAGCGCAGCUCCCCGCGGCUGCUCUCCUGAGCUGCAGCCUAAUGAACUCCUGGGCCCCUCUCAUCCCAGCACUGCAACAGAGCCGCUCAUGUUCGCGCGCAUGCUUAGACACACACACAUGCAUAGGCAGGCUCGCUCCGUCAGAACAGCCUGUGGCUCCUAAUAGGCCAAUAUAGAAUAAAGGUUGCACUAAACACUGCACUUUGUAGCCCACAGUAAUAGUACAAGGUAAGGUCAAGCGCUCAUGCAAGCGGCGCCUGUGCGUGCGAGAGAUGCUGAGGGAAGAUGUGCCACUUGAUUUGUGAGUGCAUGUGGGUAGGCAGCGCGAUGCCUCCAGGCGCUCGCUCUGAACCUGCCACACACACUCGCCUGUCUCCGCCUGAUUGGGCAAACAGCGUCGGGAUGAGAGGAUGUGUCUGCCGCGGAAAUUCUGUCGCUGCCGCCUACCGGCGCGGCCACAGUUUCCCAUUCGGCAGGUGGGUCCCAAAGGCAAGUGCUUAGUGAUCGGAGCAAAGCCCUGUGAGCGGCUACAAGGAGAUUCAUGAUCCCAACAGUGCUGGGGAGGACAGGUUCUCGGGGACGCGUCGUCAGUGCGGGAUGAGAGGCGAAUUUAUUUGGUGUUAUUCUAAACCGAGGCAGCGGAGCGUGCGGCAGCAACAUUUCUACAGCGGGAUGGUGAAGGUGUCACACUCAUCAAGUACCUGGGCCCGCUUGCCUGCCGCGGCUCUGCUGGUUUUGCCUAGGGACUUGUCUGUCACAUUAAAGUAGAUGCAUUGCCAUUCAGGGCCUCGGCGGUCCCGCAGCCUGACCAUGAAAUAGGCCAACUUUCAUGUCUGCCUCAUUCCUCCACGUCUUCCCAAUCCAGUGAUGGCACAGUUUGAAAUGUUUUUUUUUUUUUGUUUUUUUUUGUAAUUUAAAUAUCAUGUUCUAGCCUAGAAGUUGGUGACUGAGACACAAACAGCACAGCAAUCCCUUCGACAGAUUUAUGGAGAAAUUAGCUUGAAAAUCGACCCCGCCUUCUGCCCCCGUGGUCAAUCAUCAUGAAGUAGGCCUGUGUUUGGAAAGAGUAAGCCUUGCCUUAGUGGGCGUAUACAUGUUCUUAAAAUGGGACCUUUUCAGAUGCUUGACUGAGUAUGUCACGAAGCAUUUAACUAAAAAUCAGGACAUUUUUUCUCAUUGACUUUCAGAUGAAUUGUUUGUAAUAUGCUAGAGUUUUUAACUAAAUGUAGCCUUUUUUUUUUACUUUAUUCGACACGUUGGGAACAUUAAAUGUAUUUACCCACAAAAUACCUCAAUCGAUCUUAUUCAUGGAUUCAUUCAUUUUGUCAGUUUAUUAGGUACACAAUCUAAUGCAAUUCAAUGCAACAGCUCUGUCAUGAAUUCUACCUGGACAAUGUUUAUACAGCUCAGUUUCUGUUGAAAUGGUUGUGAAUGUGAAAAUUGAAUUAUAUGCUUAUUAUUGAGGUUAUAGUUUGCAGUGAUGUUGUACUGGACUCCAAAUAUUAAGAGGUGUUUCAAAUUUUUUGUCCUCCCAUAUUUAUAUACAUGGGGGGGGGGGGGCAGAAUAUUAGAAACACUUCUCAACUAUGACCUCAAUGCUAAACAUAUAAUUGAAUUAACACCAUAUGACAGUAUCAAAAACCCCUGAACAUUAUAGGCAUGAUAACUAUAAGAAUAAACUAUAUCGCAGAAUAAUUGGAUUGAAUUGUACUAGAUUGUACAAGUGUACCUAAUAAAGUGGCCACUGAGUGUAUAUACACACACACAGUGGCAAAGUUACAACAGCCAACCUGACAUGUGGGGUGUUUAUUUCAGGCAUUUUGGACUGAACAUCUCUGACCUUCAGCUGGAGCAUAUGCUGUGCUGGAGCAGAGUGGCAGCUAUAUGUACCGUGUGCCUUUCUGCAGGACGACUAGCCGCAGAGAAAAAAGAGAGCUGUCCAGUUUGGAACAGUGACCAGACAGGCUCCAGUCACAACCAGUUGACAGGCCAAGCAGCCCCUCCUCACUCUACUCCCCCCCUCCAUCUCCAAACAGCCACAGCAGCCCUGCGGCCAAUGGCCUCAACCACAGUCAGUUACAGUGUCUCCAUCACUGUUGGCCAGACCAGCCAGGAACUGACAUAGGGUUGGCGGCGGAAAAAAAACUUGAGUGUCAGCCGUAUGAUGGCUGAAAGGAACAUCAGUCUCAGCAAUUGGCCAGGCACUGCUUUGUACGCUAGUGUGUGUGCACGCACGCAAGUAUAUACGUGCACGUGUGUCUUGAUAUUCAAGCAGCAUUUGAGCAGCGCCUGCAUCAACGUCUGGUCGUUCUACACAGACAAUGUCAGCCCGCCUCGGGGCAGCAGCCUCCGCAGUGGUCAUAUGGACAACCAGAUCCCUGUGGUAGAAUUAGUGAUAAAAAACACACAUGGCCACUGAGUGACAGUCAGGGCACCAGAUUCCUUUGGACAGACAGGGCUGCAAAUAGCACAGAGGAGCAGUUUCUCCCUCAGACCACAACUGGUGGCCAGGCUCAUGCCAGGCCAAGUCGUGGCCGCCAGAUGAGCCCAGAUAAAAGGAGACUCAGAGGCAGUAACAGGCACCUAGUGCCCAAGCAGCACUUUGGCCUGUUUAUUUCCCUCCUGGUUUUACAUCAAUGCAGUUAUAUCUAAGGUUUCUUGUCUACACUAACAAGACAAAUGAUUUGGCUUCUUUUUUUUCUUUUCUAUUACACUAUAACCUUUAACUUAUGUUCCCCUAUGACUCGGUCUACAAUGAAUGGUUGAAAGGAAGAGAGUGUUUGACAAUAUAACAACAAGCAUCACCUAAACAUGUGUGUCUCCUCCGAAAAGCCACUUUACCCCAUAAGGUUAUAUAGCAAUAAAAAAAACAUCCAUCUAUUAUGUUUCCAUGUCUUUUCUAGUGUGGCCAGAUAUGGACUAAUACGUGCACCAUUCCCCAGGAGGAUACUCUGUCCCCAGAGGAGGUGGUGGUGGUGGGGGGUGGCGGGGGUGUGCUGUUGGAGCUGUUCUGGAGGCAGGGAGGGGAGGCAGGCAGCAGUUGGUGUGCAGAGAGCAGAGGCUCAGGCUGGCUAGUUAAGAGCUUCUCUCGCCUAUCCUCCAUCUGCCAGGGACCGGGGUUGUGAUUUGAGCUCCAGCAGAGCAGAGCAGGGAGGAGAUCGAA